CACGUAGGGUGCGAGCGUUGUCCGGAAUUAUUGGGCGUAAAGAGCUCGUAGGCGGUGUGUCGCGUCGGCCGUGAAAACCUGCAGCUUAACUGUGGGCUUGCGGUCGAUACGGGCAUCACUGGAGUUCGGCAGGGGAGACUGGAAUUCCUGGUGUAGCGGUGAAAUGCGCAGAUAUCAGGAGGAACACCGGUGGCGAAGGCGGGUCUCUGGGCCGAUACUGACGCUGAGACGCAAAAGCGUGGGGAGCAAACAGG
RNAcentral lists this ribosomal RNA (254 nucleotides) under uncultured bacterium. Its description in RNAcentral is "partial 16S ribosomal RNA". It matches the Rfam family "Bacterial small subunit ribosomal RNA", at positions 524 to 776 of the family's 1533-position model. The record is from RNAcentral.